GAUGAAGAACGCAGCGAAGUGCGAUAAGCAAUGCGAAUUGCAGAAUUCCGCGAAUCAUCAGAUUUUUGAACGCAAAUGGCGCCAGAGGGAUAUCCUUCUGGCAUGUCUGUUUCAGUGUCUGAGAGGUUUCACACUAAUCUUAAUGUGAUUGAACUGAGUUAGUUAGUUUACUCUAACUUUCGUCUUUUCUCUCAUGAAAGAUGCGCGAGGGGAUCUUUCGGUCCAAUGAAGUGGUCACAUCACUCGAAUGUGAUUUCGUUGGAAGCACCGAAUUAUCACAUAAAAACUCGCGGUAUCAUAUUUUCAUAGUAUUGAUGAUGAAUAAUCAUCCGUACUACUCUCUACACCCUGCAUCUGAGAUAGGCAAGAUCACCCGCUGAACUUAAGCAUAUCAAUAAGCGGAGGA
This 406-nucleotide unclassified non-coding RNA is filed under the name soil metagenome. Its description in RNAcentral is "partial internal transcribed spacer 1". The stretch from base 1 to 120 matches the Rfam family "5.8S ribosomal RNA", at positions 35 to 154 of the family's 154-position model. The record is from RNAcentral.